RNAcentral lists this ribosomal RNA (497 nucleotides) under uncultured bacterium. RNAcentral's name for it is "partial 16S ribosomal RNA". It matches the Rfam family "Bacterial small subunit ribosomal RNA", at positions 28 to 507 of the family's 1533-position model. The record is from RNAcentral.
GACGAACGCUGGCGGCGUGCCUAAUACAUGCAAGUAGAACGCUGAAGAGAGGAGCUUGCUCUUCUUGGAUGAGUUGCGAACGGGUGAGUAACGCGUAGGUAACCUGCCUUGUAGCGGGGGAUAACUAUUGGAAACGAUAGCUACUACCGCAUAACAAUGGAUGACACAUGUCAUUUAUUUGAAAGGGGCAAUUGCUCCACUACAAGAUGGACCUGCGUUGUAUUAGCUAGUAGGUGAGGUAAUGGCUCACCUAGGCGACGAUACAUAGCCGACCUGAGAGGGUGAUCGGCCACACUGGGACUGAGACACGGCCCAGACUCCUACGGGAGGCAGCAGUAGGGAAUCUUCGGCAAUGGGGGCAACCCUGACCGAGCAACGCCGCGUGAGUGAAGAAGGUUUUCGGAUCGUAAAGCUCUGUUGUAAGUCAAGAACGGGUGUGAGAGUGGAAAGUUCACACUGUGACGGUAGCUUACCAGAAAGGGACGGCUAACUACGUG